Molecule: ribosomal RNA, 476 nt
Filed under: uncultured bacterium
Lineage: Bacteria
Description: bacterial SSU rRNA
Rfam family: Bacterial small subunit ribosomal RNA
Source: RNAcentral
AUUGAACGCUGGCGGCAUGCCUUACACAUGCAAGUCGAACGGCAGCGCGGGGCAACCUGGCGGCGAGUGGCGAACGGGUGAGUAAUAUAUCGGAACAUACCCUAGAGUGGGGAUAACGUAGCGAAAGUUACGCUAAUACCGCAUACGCACUAAGGUGGAAAGUGGGGGAUUCGCAAGAACCUCAUGCUCAUGGAGUGGCCGAUAUCUGAUUAGCUAGUUGGUGAGGUAAAGGCUCACCAAGGCAACGAUCAGUAGCUGGUUUGAGAGAACGACCAGCCACACUGGAACUGAGACACGGUCCAGACUCCUACGGGAGGCAGCAGUGGGGAAUUUUGGACAAUGGGCGAAAGCCUGAUGCAGCGACGCCGCGUGGAGGAUGAAGGAUUUCGGUCUGUAAACUCCUGUCAGUAGGGAAGAGAAUGGACGGUACCUACUGAGGAAGCUUCGGCUAACUACGUGCCAGCAGCCGCGGUAAU